CCAUGGCUGGAGUUCCCAGGGGGUGCAUACACUCAUCGCCCCUCUCCACUGCUCUUCACAUCACAUCUGUCUCAGGCUCUAAUGCUUCCAGGACUGAUGGACAAGAAGGCAAAGGUCAGAGCUGUAUAGACGCUCAAGCCAGCCUGAAGAAAGAGCAGGUUUUGAGAUAGUAUGACAAAGUUCUUUAAGUGGUUAAAAAAUAAUUCGCUCAUAAUUUUUGUGUUUAAUUGUAUGAAAUAAAAGAUAAAUUUGUUGACGAAAAGCAGAGUUCUAUUGAAGUUUUAUUGUUAAGGAAAGACAUUCAAGGAUUAGAGGCUUUGUAUUUGUAACAAGUUCAUAUGAAAAUUCAGAUUUUUUCUUAGUCAGUUACAUAGCACUAAUCAUCAAGUUGCUGAUAACUUAGCACACAGCUUUUUGAAACAUAGACACUCCUGAAUGGAAACAACAAACAUAUUGGCAGCUUAAAACUUCAAAUGCGUCACCUUAUGGUGACAACAUCUAGCUUUUAUAUACAGCCAAUGAAAACAAAUUGCUUAUACAUUUGUAUAAAACAACUCUUAAAGCUAUCACUUCAGCAAAGCCCUUGGAGACCUUGAGACUCCCGAGAGCUUCGAUCAGUUUUUCAAGUGGUACCUGACGGGAAAUGAUAUGUGUCCUCAUCUCCACUAUCUGCCUAAUGAUGAUGACCAAGAAGAGUCCAGGUCUGAUAAAUGAUAACAGAUAUCAAUGUGAUCAGGAAGAACUGAAAUUGAUUAUUUCAAACUGAACUGUGUUUGACAAACUUACUCAGUUAUUAUCCAGUGGAUAAUAGCACAUCCAUAUAAAAGAAUUCAAGUUGCUUUAUACUUUUCCCACAUUCUGUUUCAGUAAAAUACUUUUGGUAUCUCACAUACUGCAUAUUUGUUUGCUACUUUAUAAAUUAAAACAGUGGUACCUCAGUUAUUUGACUCUUUACGUUAUAAAACCUUUGCUCCAGAUUGAGCUAUUAGAAAAUAAGAUAAGUCUGAGGGCUGAAGAGAUAGUAAUUAUUGACAGGUUAUUAUGACAAUGGGCCCCGGCCAUAAAAAUGUCAAAGGACGUUCUACCCACUUGCGCAAAGGGUAUGCAGUGUACGUGCUUUUCCUAAGCAAACAAAGAUUGGUUACACAAUAAACAAAGCCAACUCUCAAAAACGGCUUGUAAUCUUUUGAAAUCAUUCUCCUUUUCAACCUUUAAAUCACUGCUAUUCUUUUACAAUCUGAGGUUUAAAAACAUCUUAAUUUUAAAAACUCAAACACAAUUUAAUCAAAAGUGAAAGAUUUCCUGAAGAACUGAUUUUGUUCUGUUUUUUUCCCCUUUUUUUCUUUCUUUGCUUUUGAUAAAAUUUAACUGACUUGCUUCAAAUUAGCUUCUAACAUCCGAAGUGGACCACUUGCAAAGAGGACAGUGUAAUUCCACAUCUAUUGCUAUAAUAAAUACUGCAAAAAGUUAUUUGUUUGUCUAGCAUAAACUUUUUUCUUCCUCCACCUGUUAUCAUGCUGUUUGUACUUGAGUGAUAGUGGGGUAAAUAUAAUCAACAGACACUUGAUUUUAAUUGAAAAUGCCAAAUGAGAUUUUAGCUCAUGGAGGAACUAUAAGAUCGAUGGCUCAGUGAAAAAGAAUCACGACUCGCCAUAAUUUCUGUUGUGAGCUCUGGUAGAUUUUCUUUGUGUCAGGUUGUGAUCAGCUGACCUGUGCUGCUGCUGCUUUGAUCUUUGCUGUUUUUUGUGGAUUUGCACAAGUUUAUUUGUUGAGAACCCGAUGUUCCCACCUCUGUAAAGAAUGGGAAGGACGGAAUAGCAGACCUGCACAAGUCUGGAAUGGUCUAUAAGACCGUUCAGCAAGAACAUGCAGACGGACAAAAUGGUGGUGGCUAACCAACCGGACAUAGUGGUGGUAGACAAACAGAAGAAGACGGCUGUAGUGAUCGAUGUAGCGGUUCCGAAUGACAGCAAUAUCAGGAAGAAGGAACACGAGAAGCUGGAGAAAUACCAAGGGCUCAGAGAAGAGCUCGAGAGGAUGUGGAGGGUGAAGGUAACGGUGGUCCCCGUGGUAAUCGGAGCACUAGGUGCGGUGACUCCCAAGCUAGGCGAGUGGCUCCAGCAGAUCCCGGGAACAACAUCGGAGAUCUCUGUCCAGAAGAGCGCAGUCCUGGGAACAGCUAAGAUACUGCGCAGGACCCUCAAGCUCCCAGGCCUCUGGUAGAGGACCCGAGCUUGAAGGAUAAACCGCCCGCAGGGGCGUGCUGGGUGUUAUAUAUAUAUAUGUAUAUAUAUAUAUAUAUGUAUGUGUGUAUAAAAUAUAUGAAGUAACAUGUUGACAUAUAUUAAUAAAUUGACAUGUACUGUUUCUUCAUUAGCUACUUUUAGUAACAGAUUUUGCGUUAAAAAUUCUAAUUAUCUGGCUUGUUUGGCUUGACUGCAGAUUUCAGUUGUUUGUAGACAUAUUUCAUCUCUAUGGUUAUUUUUCGGUCAAAUGGAAAUAACAUUUGCCUUUAGGCGACAAUACAAAUAGAACUGAAUUGAUUCUCUAAUCCUAUCAUACCUUUAUUCACAUAAAUGUUUGAGAAUCGUCGAGGAAAAAAUUUUUGAUAGAUUAUCAUGACCAUGGGCCAUGCACCAUAGACAGCAGACAGAAACAAAUAAAACUGUUUAUUAGAGUGUGCAAGGCUCAGAGUACUUGAUAAGCUAGAGUGGAAAAAAAUGGCUGCCACUCUUCCUGCUCCUGUGCUUUGACAAAUGUACUAUGUAAAGUGUUACCUUUGUUCUAUAAGUUUUGGGGAAAAAUGACUGAUUCAUUAAAGUUUAAAUUCCAAAUCCCGGACAACUCAGGUUCAGUGGACUAUGAGACAGGGUGUUUAUUCUGAGUUAAUAUUUACCAUGACAAAUGCGUCAAAACACCUUUUUUUCUUGGCAUCCACUAGCAGGUAGGUCAUGUGCACUCUAUGCCCAUGCAGUCCACCAUGUUUCAAAAAGUAUAGUAUAAAAUGUUUAAAGAAAUCUGUGUUGCUAAAUGUUUUGUCUUUUCUGUCAUAUGAUUCAUCUCACAGCUCCACAUACUUGGAAGACUUUGGUUUCAGUGUGUGGCAACAGCGGUUUCACUUUAGUGAUUUUAUGGUGCUGUGCUAGUAUGUUAGCACAGGCACCAUUUUGUGUGUGUGUGUGUGUGUGUGUGUGUGUGUGUGUGUGUGUGUGUGUGUGUGUGUGUGUGACAUGUGUGAAUUGAGCACAUUGACAAAAUCUGUACUACAUUCGGAGGCACUACCACUGCAUGAUUAGUAAUAGACUUCCAUCUGUCAGAACCAAAUGGGUGGAUUGAUCAUGCCUGCAGUCAUGCUGUAGGUAACUACAGAACUUACACUUGAGCUCCACAUUAUCCAUCUUUAUAUAGCUGUCUGGAAUAAAAUUUCAUGUUUCAAACACAUGUUUGUCAGGUUUUGAGAGUCUUUUAAUGUCACCCCAUUUGUGGUUUUAAAUGAGAACAGCCUUCUAUCGUCAAGCCGAUCUUCCAGCAGCAGCAUUAUGAUGCAGUAGUCGGGUCACAGCAUAGGUCAAACGUACACAUGUUUUGGUAAAAGUAAAACAUAAAUGCUUAACACUUUAGUUUAACAUUAACUAUAGUACCUCUAAAAGAACAUAUAAUAUCCCAUAAAUCUUCCCUUUAAAAGGCACCAUAUGAGUUCAGCAGAUCAUCACUUCUAUCUAUGACUUGGAUGGGCAUCUGAAUCAAUAUUCUGUAAACUCGCAGAAGAUGCCAUGGCUGGAGUUCCCAGGGGGUGCAUACACUCAUCGCCCCUCUCCACUGCUCUUCACAUCACAUCACACAGACAUUGACUCAUGUUCAUGUAUGACUUACAAAAUUGGAUCUGUUAUUGAUCACACACUAGCUAAUUUGAAGUGUGAAUCUAUUAAAACAAGGUGCCAGCAGCAGCAUUAUAGUGCACAAA
This is a long non-coding RNA of Oreochromis aureus, 3964 nucleotides long. The record is from Ensembl. NCBI's taxonomy places the organism in Eukaryota, Metazoa, Chordata, Actinopteri, Cichliformes, Cichlidae.